RNAcentral lists this small nuclear RNA (21 nucleotides) under Arabidopsis thaliana (thale cress). Its description in RNAcentral is "snRNA_11475". Lineage: Eukaryota; Viridiplantae; Streptophyta; Magnoliopsida; Brassicales; Brassicaceae. The record is from RNAcentral.
CUGCAACCAUGAGUGGUGUCA